RNAcentral lists this ribosomal RNA (492 nucleotides) under uncultured bacterium. RNAcentral's name for it is "partial 16S ribosomal RNA". It matches the Rfam family "Bacterial small subunit ribosomal RNA", at positions 29 to 507 of the family's 1533-position model. The record is from RNAcentral.
AGUGAACGCUGGCGGUAGGCCUAACACAUGCAAGUCGAACGGCAGCACAGUAAGAGCUUGCUCUUACGGGUGGCGAGUGGCGGACGGGUGAGGAAUACAUCGGAAUCUACUUUUUCGUGGGGGAUAACGUAGGGAAACUUACGCUAAUACCGCAUACGACCUACGGGUGAAAGCAGGGGAUCUUCGGACCUUGCGCGAUUGAAUGAGCCGAUGUCGGGUUAGCUAGUUGGCGGGGUAAAGGCCCACCAAGGCGACGAUACGUAGCUGGUCUGAGAGGAUGAUCAGCCACACUGGAACUGAGACACGGUCCAGACUCCUACGGGAGGCAGCAGUGGGGAAUAUUGGACAAUGGGCGCAAGCCUGAUCCAGCCAUACCGCGUGGGUGAAGAAGGCCUUCGGGUUGUAAAGCCCUUUUGUUGGGAAAGAAAAGCAGCAGGUUAAUACCCCGCUGUUCUGACGGUACCCAAAGAAUAAGCACCGGCUAACUUCGUG